RNAcentral lists this long non-coding RNA (1105 nucleotides) under Physcomitrium patens. RNAcentral describes it as "long non-coding RNA (PPAT_LNC000770)". The record is from RNAcentral. Lineage: Eukaryota; Viridiplantae; Streptophyta; Bryopsida; Funariales; Funariaceae.
GAUUAAUUCCCAGCGUACACAUGGCGGAGCUUGGAAUUGCGCUGGCAACACAGUUAAGCAACCUCCACGGCCCUCACUGUUUACAACUUGUCCGGUUCUGAUCUAUACUCCUAUUCAUUAGAACCGAAUCUACUAAAUCUGACUAAAAUAUGCAAUUUAUGAUUUUCAGCGGAAGCAAGGAUGCCUCUGCUAACCGCGAGCUAUAUGUACGCACGGUGAUGGUGAUGGACAAUGCAACUCGAGGAUAGAUGGUCCACUCUUGACCAGCGGUUCAGUGCAUUGACAACGAGUUUGGAGUAGCUUAUUACAAGAACUAGAGAGUCACAAAAUUCAACCGAACUCCACUUGAUUAGCUACUAAUCCGUGGUGGUAUACACAUGCCAGGACAAAGAGGGAUGCAAAGCGCCACUCAACCCUCUAACUGCGCUUGCAUUGCUAUGGGUAUUAGGUGAGUGAUUCCUUAGUAAACUCAACUCAAAUGGUCAUUUGCUGCACCAAUGUACAAUUGCAAUCGUGCCUGCAUCCACAACAGAAUGACAAUUUACUCUGAUCACGCCGACGCUUCCAAAGGAACCAGCUAAACUAUUGACAAUGCGAGGAAAUCCACUUAAACAAGUCCUUGACAGUUCCCCGCAUGUAGCCACGAGCUCAAAGAGUUUUCUCUACUUCAAAACAUCCAACACACGGCCUAUAAACUUGAUGCAAUUGCAACGAGUGGCUGCAGACCUCAAAUUGCAAUGAGUCCAGAAUUCAAUGAAGGCAACCGAUCGAGAAUCCAGUGUGCAUGUGACGUAUUGAGCAAGGACUGAAUUUGGUGUUGAUCCAGCUGCCACCUGGUUGCCGAACCAUAAGCCUCGUUGCAAUGCCAUAGACACAAGAGAGAAGAAAAAACAACAAAAUUAAAUUUUGUCGAUUACUACUAGUAGUCAACAACAACUAGUACAAGGGAUUGCAUUGCACCACAGCGAAGAGCUCUAAACGAGCUGCCGUAACUAUAUGAGAAUCCACCAAUCUUCCACAACAAGACAAAAUCAACUGCACAACUCGAUAACUGACGGUAGCACAGCACUGCGUUGAUAAACACUUGAGACCAGCCAAGAUGAUG